This 506-nucleotide ribosomal RNA is filed under the name uncultured bacterium. RNAcentral's name for it is "partial 16S ribosomal RNA". It matches the Rfam family "Bacterial small subunit ribosomal RNA", at positions 30 to 523 of the family's 1533-position model. The record is from RNAcentral.
AUUGAACGCUGGCGGCAGGCCUAACACAUGCAAGUCGAACGGUAGCACAGGAGAGCUUGCUCUCUGGGUGACGAGUGGCGGACGGGUGAGUAAUGCAUGGGGAGCUGCCCAAUCGAGGGGGAUACCAGCUGGAAUCGGCUGCUAAUACCGCAUACGCCCUGAGGGGGAAAGGUGGGGACCUUCGGGCCUACCGCGAUUGGAUGCACCCAUGUGGGAUUAGCUAGUUGGUGAGGUAACGGCUCACCAAGGCGACGAUCUCUAGCUGGUCUGAGAGGAUGACCAGCCACACUGGAACUGGGACACGGUCCAGACUCCUACGGGAGGCAGCAGUGGGGAAUAUUGCACAAUGGGGGAAACCCUGAUGCAGCCAUGCCGCGUGUGUGAAGAAGGCCUUCGGGUUGUAAAGCACUUUCAGUGGGGAGGAAGGGUUGAUGUCUAAUACGCAUCAACAUUGACGUUACCCACAGAAGAAGCACCGGCUAACUCCGUGCCAGCAGCCGCCGUAA